CGAACGCUGGCGGCAGGCCUAACACAUGCAAGUCGAGCGGUAGAGAGAAGCUUGCUUCUCUUGAGAGCGGCGGACGGGUGAGUAAUGCCUAGGAAUCUGCCUGGUAGUGGGGGAUAACGUUCGGAAACGGACGCUAAUACCGCAUACGUCCUACGGGAGAAAGCAGGGGACCUUCGGGCCUUGCGCUAUCAGAUGAGCCUAGGUCGGAUUAGCUAGUUGGUGAGGUAAUGGCUCACCAAGGCGACGAUCCGUAACUGGUCUGAGAGGAUGAUCAGUCACACUGGAACUGAGACACGGUCCAGACUCCUACGGGAGGCAGCAGUGGGGAAUAUUGGACAAUGGGCGAAAGCCUGAUCCAGCCAUGCCGCGUGUGUGAAGAAGGUCUUCGGAUUGUAAAGCACUUUAAGUUGGGAGGAAGGGCCAUUACCUAAUACGUGAUGGUUUUGACGUUACCGACAGAAUAAGCACCGGCUAACUCUGU
This 481-nucleotide ribosomal RNA is filed under the name uncultured bacterium. Its description in RNAcentral is "bacterial SSU rRNA". It matches the Rfam family "Bacterial small subunit ribosomal RNA", at positions 30 to 506 of the family's 1533-position model. The record is from RNAcentral.